Molecule: non-coding RNA, 54 nt
Organism: Salmo salar (Atlantic salmon)
Lineage: Eukaryota; Metazoa; Chordata; Actinopteri; Salmoniformes; Salmonidae
Source: Rfam
AUGCACCAUAACUAUAAGUCGCUCUGGAUAAGAGCAUCUGCUAAAUGACUAAAA